CGGCGGGUGCGGCUGCUAUAAUGCAAGUCGAGCGGAUUGAUGGGAGCUUGCUCCCUGAUAUCAGCGGCGGACGGGUGAGUAACACGUGGGUAACCUGCCUGUAAGACUGGGAUAACUCCGGGAAACCGGGGCUAAUACCGGAUAACUCAUUUCCUCGCAUGAGGAAAUGUUGAAAGGUGGCUUCUGCUUCCCCUUUCCAAAGGAACCCCCGGCCCUUUACUUAUUGGGGGAGGAACCGGUUCCCCAGGGCAACAAUGCUAACCCAACCUGAAAGGGGGUCCGCCCCCCCGGGAACGGAAACCCGGCCCAAACUCCAACGGAAGGCACCAUAAGGAAUUCUUCCCCAUGGAACAAAAUUCGGACGAACCACCCCCCCGGGAUGGAUAAAGGUUUCCGAAUCUAAAACUUCGGUGGUUAGGAAAAACCAAUGGCCGUUCAAAUAGGGCGGACCCUUGACGGACCCUACCCAAAAAGCCACGGUUACUUACUUGCCACCACCCGCGUAAUUCCUAAGGUGGCAAGCGUGGUCCGAAUUAAUGGGGCUAAAACCGCGCCAGGUGUUUCCUUAGUCUGAUGGGAAACCCCCGCUUCACCGGUGAAGGGUCUUGGAAACUGGGGAAACUUGAUGCAAGAGAGGAAAGUGGAAUUCAAGUUGUAGCGGUGAAAUGCUAGAUUUUUGGAAGGAACACCAGUGGCGAGCGACUUUCUGUCUGUAACUGACACUGAAGCUCGAAGCGUGGAACCACAGAAUUAGAUACCUUGUAGUCAGCGUAACGAUGAUGCUAGGUAGGCUCAUCAUAUGCUGCAGCUACCAUAGUACUCGUCUUGGGGAUUACG
Molecule: ribosomal RNA, 837 nt
Filed under: Rossellomorea vietnamensis
Lineage: Bacteria; Bacillati; Bacillota; Bacilli; Caryophanales; Bacillaceae
Description: bacterial SSU rRNA
Rfam family: Bacterial small subunit ribosomal RNA
Source: RNAcentral